This 497-nucleotide ribosomal RNA is filed under the name uncultured bacterium. Its description in RNAcentral is "partial 16S ribosomal RNA". It matches the Rfam family "Bacterial small subunit ribosomal RNA", at positions 28 to 507 of the family's 1533-position model. The record is from RNAcentral.
GAUGAACGCUGGCGGCGUGCCUAAUACAUGCAAGUCGAGCGAACGGACGAGACGCUUGCUUCUCUGAUGUUAGCGGCGGACGGGUGAGUAACACGUGGAUAACCUACCUAUAAGACUGGGAUAACUUCGGGAAACCGGAGCUAAUACCGGAUAAUAUUUUGAACCGCAUGGUUCAAAAGUGAAAGACGGUCUUGCUGUCACUUAUAGAUGGAUCCGCGCUGCAUUAGCUAGUUGGUAAGGUAACGGCUUACCAAGGCAACGAUGCAUAGCCGACCUGGGAGGGGGAUCGGCCACACUGGAACUGAGACACGGUCCAGACUCCUACGGGAGGCAGCAGUAGGGAAUCUUCCGCAAUGGGCGAAAGCCUGACGGAGCAACGCCGCGUGAGUGAUGAAGGUCUUCGGAUCGUAAAACUCUGUUAUUAGGGAAGAACAUAUGUGUAAGUAACUGUGCACAUCUUGACGGUACCUAAUCAGAAAGCCACGGCUAACUACGUG